RNAcentral lists this long non-coding RNA (845 nucleotides) under Numida meleagris (helmeted guineafowl). RNAcentral's name for it is "lncRNA (ENSNMEG00000015219.1)". Lineage: Eukaryota; Metazoa; Chordata; Aves; Galliformes; Numididae. The record is from RNAcentral.
GAACAAAUCUGCAACUAUUCCAAGGCAAUUUUUGGAAGAGGUUGAGCUUCACAAAGUUGAAUCUUUCUCUUGACCUUUAGAACAACCAUGUAUUUUGUGAUAUCAUCAAUGUUUAAGCAUUUGUCUCAACAUUUUAAGGUAGUUUGAAACAGAAGAUUUGAGACCAAAGAUAUGACCACAGCUCCUGAGAAGAAAGACUUGACAUAUGACUGUAUUCCUCUCCAUUAACAUUUAAAUACUGAAAACAAUUAGAAGGAUUGAAGAACUGAGCAAAAGCCUAAUGAAAAUUCUGCUGCAUGGCAAGUCACAGUAUCUUUAAUAUUUCUCUUUUCACUUCAAGAUUGUCCAGGGUUUCCAAAUCUUACCUAAGGCUGAUCAAGAACAAGGUCCUAACAGAAGGUCUAGCCCUUUGAAAAGAGCUCUACUGCAUCCCGGCUUCUGCUCAUCUGAGUCUCAGGGCCUUUCAGACUGUGAAGGUAGUUCAACUUGAAGAAACGAAGGAUGCCAAAACCACACAUGGAUACAGAAAAUGUCAAUUUUAAAACACAGAGGAUAAUACAAAGCUUCUCCUGUGGGAGGAUGAAAGGAGUGCAAGUAGUGAUAGUACUUCUACAAAGACCAUUAGGAUUUGGUGAUUUCAUCAACAAAAACGCUCCCAGAGCCAUAAAGGACAGCCUGGGGGCUAUGGUCAUAUAAGAUGAAUCUCUAGAAAAGGGCUUUAUUUCAAGAGGUACAAACUCAGAAAAAUUCUGUGAUUUUCUUCAGAAAAAAAGUAGCACUGCCUACAGCUUUGAGGAUCACCUGAGGCAUGAUGAACAAGAAACAUGACGUAGGAGAGAAAGAAC